GGUCGGCAUCCUGACUCGUCUCGCGGUUACUGGGCCAGGGCGAGCGCGCGAGGCUCGGGGGUGGCGCUGGGAGGAGCUUAGUCCAAGUGGGCUCUGCGGGUCUCUGCUCCGCGUCACUGAGAGCGCGGGAUUGAGGUCGUGUUAGGUGAGGAGGUCGCACCGGAAGUGGCAUUGGUCGUGGUGUUUCAGUGUUGUAAGGAGACUGUGGCGGAGUUUUGUUGUUAAGGGGGCGCGGCACAGCACCUCUCCCUCCACCUUCGCUGCAGUAACCAUGGCAAAAGGCAGAGUCGCGGAACGAUCGCAGACAGGGGCACUCCACACGACCCCCGUGGGGGAUAGGGCAGCAGGGACGCGAGGUCCCAUGGCGCCUGGCGGCGGAGACCACCUGAAGGAAAAAGCCUGGGCAGAAGGUGGAUCAGCAAGAAUGUCACUCCUUAUAUUGGUGUCCAUUUUCUUAUCUGCAGCUUUUGUUAUGUUUUUGGUGUAUAAAAAUUUUCCUCAGCUUAGUGAAGAAGAAAGAGUGAAUAUGAAGGUUCCCAGAGAUAUGGAUGAUGCCAAGGCUCUAGGAAAAGUUUUAUCCAAAUAUAAAGACACCUUUUAUGUUCAAGUACUUGUAGCUUACUUUGCUACAUAUAUUUUUUACCAGUUUGCAAACAUUUGCUAUUCCAGGCUCUAUAUUUCUCAGUAUACUCUCAGGAUUUCUUUAUCCCUUUCCACUAGCCUUAUUUCUUGUUUGUUUGUGUUCUGGACUCGGUGCCUCUUUCUGCUAUAUGCUCUCCUAUUUAGUUGGGAGACCAGUUGUGUAUAAAUACCUAACAGAGAAAGCAGUAAAAUGGUCACAGCAGGUUGAACGUCAUAGAGAACAUCUCAUUAACUACAUUAUAUUUUUGAGAAUAACACCAUUUCUGCCUAAUUGGUUUAUUAAUAUCACAUCUCCUGUGAUAAAUGUGCCAUUGAAAGUUUUUUUUAUUGGCACUUUUCUAGGUGUUGCACCUCCCUCUUUUGUAGCAAUUAAGGCAGGAACAACAUUGUAUCAGCUUACAACAGCAGGGGAAGCUGUCUCUUGGAAUUCAGUAUUUAUUCUGAUGAUUUUGGCUGUUCUUUCUAUUCUGCCAGCUAUCUUCCAAAAGAAACUAAAGCAGAAAUUUGAGUAAAAAAAAAUCUGAUUUUUAGUUUUGAUAUCAUCAUCAUCAUCAUCAUCUCAGGAUUAGCAGGUGCAUCCAUUCAUGUUUUAAAAUCACCUCUUCAAUAAUUGAAACAAGGAAUUUGUGAAAUAAAAUUUCCUAUCAGAUAAUAAAAUAAUACAUUUAAAUGGCAAGGGGGAGAAGGAAUAAAAAUGGAAAUUGGUAUACUAUGAAAAGUACUGUCAGUAGUCAAGGUAGAAAUUUUAUAUAGGCCUCUUGUAAAUUAUUAUAUCAAGGGUAGCUAUAAUAGAUAAUAGCAUGGUAGAAAAUUCUUGAUCCAACUGAUUCAUUCAAUUUAAUUUAAUAAUUUUCCUCUCAUCUCUUACUAAUAACUAAAAUAGAUACUUAAAAAUUCUAGAUUUUUAAAAAUAGCAUUGAAGUUUUUGCUAAUGUUAGUCUUUUUUGAGAGCAUAAACUGGAAAACUAAAGCUUAAAAAGAGAUUUACAUUUUCUCCUUCUUUUUACCUUUGAGGUAAUGGAUUUAUUUACAGCUUGCAUCUUUAUAGACCACUGUAUAUGGAAAGGGUAUCAAGUUACCUAUUUUCUGAAUUUUAUUUUUAUUUUUGUGUUCUAGAUUUUUAUCAUGAAUUAGUCUGAAAUUUAAAAUUCUGGCCAGUCUGUUUUCAUCCUUUUUUCUAGUUUUUACAGUAUUUCCACCUUGCAUUUACAAAAGGGGGAUUAUAUAACUAUAUCAUAUUUGGUGUUAAUAAUUUAUAUUCAGAUAAUAUUUUGUUACAGUGCCCCUUUAAUGUCUCCAAAGGGAAUCUGAAAAGCAAACACUCAAAAGUAUGCAGUUUUUAGACAGUAGGUGAAUUAUUUUAUGUUUUGCAACAAACAGUGUCAAUAUAACACUUAAGAGGAUAUAGUUCCAGUGAUUGUAAAAGUUACCUCAUUUAUUUAUUCUGGUCAUUAAGGAAUGUAUUAUGUAAUUCUUUUUAUGCAUGAUACACUUCUAAGAAUGCCCUUUUUUUGUUUUUAUUGAUGGCUUUUUUGUUUGGGGCUGCUUUUGAUUAAUGCAGUCUCCCAAUUUAGUCUUUUUAGUUUUUCUAAUUCACAAAGUAAACUUCUCACAUGGUAACUACUAUAUAUAAGUAGUUCUGGAAAAACUAAACUGCUUUUUGCAGCUUGGUUAAAUGGCAAUGCCCUGAUUCCUUGAUUCUAGGACAUAGCCAAUCUAAAGUACUCUUGUCAGUUUUACCUUCACCCAAGACUGUCAUUACAUUGAAAAGUACUUUAGCUGUGAAAAAUCCUUGUAUGUUUUUAUUGUGAGAGGUAUAAUCAUUCUCAGAGUCUAUUUCUACUACAUAAUGUGGACUGAUUCAUUAUUUUUUCUAUCACAGUAUUAACAAAUGGAUUUAUUGUAAAUACAAAGAAAAUAUAUUGAUUAUUAUAGUAUUCUUGUGUCACCUGGCCUUUUUUGUGUGUGAAGUUAUUUAUUGUUAUUUUUAGCAAGGUUUUCUUCCUUUCUUCUUGACCAGAGACUGAGUGAUAAAGCUUUUGUUAUUUUUACAAAAGAACUUAAAACAUAGCCUUUUGGAACAGAUUCACUAAAUACUACUGUAUAAAAUGUAAUUGAAUAAAUUUUUAUCAGAAUUUUAAAAAUAAAAGUAAAAGCUUGGACUCAG
Molecule: non-coding RNA, 2809 nt
Organism: Microcebus murinus (gray mouse lemur)
Lineage: Eukaryota; Metazoa; Chordata; Mammalia; Primates; Cheirogaleidae
Source: RefSeq, a predicted model, not a curated record